GUGCUUGCUUUAGCAGCACAUGCAUGAACACUGGAAGAAUCCCCCAAACAUUAGCAAGCCCCUGCAGAAGAAUGACAGACUAUUUCACAAAACAGCUCAUGGCUUUU
RNAcentral lists this small nuclear RNA (107 nucleotides) under Echinops telfairi (small Madagascar hedgehog). The record is from RNAcentral. Lineage: Eukaryota; Metazoa; Chordata; Mammalia; Afrosoricida; Tenrecidae.